Non-coding RNA from Bos taurus (domestic cattle), 72 nucleotides. The record is from Rfam. NCBI's taxonomy places the organism in Eukaryota, Metazoa, Chordata, Mammalia, Artiodactyla, Bovidae.
UCCCUGGUGACUCAGUGGGUAAAGAAUCUGCCUGCAAUGCAGGAGACCCAAGUUCAAUCCCUGGGUCGGGAA